Non-coding RNA from Arachis ipaensis, 546 nucleotides. Lineage: Eukaryota; Viridiplantae; Streptophyta; Magnoliopsida; Fabales; Fabaceae. The record is from RefSeq and is a predicted model, not a curated record.
ACCUCCAUUGCAGACCUUCAAGUUCCAGGUUGUCACUGCCGUCGCCCGAUCCCAGCCGGAACUGCCGCUAACUGCAGAACCUCCUAUGUUGGUCGACAGCCACGCCAAGAUCAGCUCUGUUAUAUAAUACUUACUUCCAUCCACCAUUGUUUGCUUUUCAAUUAUCAAGUUCCUAACAUCAAGAAGCUAGUUGACACUGCCUUAAUUAUGGCAAAUAUAAUAGGGGAAAAAUACCAGAACCCAAAGAGGAGGGGUGAUGAAGACGAUUGAUGCCUAUAAAGCUUCUGAAAAAGCACAAUUUGGUAGAAGAGAUUUUGUAAGGAUUUAAGUUUAUUAAUUUGCCCUUUGAAGGCAAACAUUCUCAUUCUUGUCUUUUAUUGCACUCAAAUUUUCUUCAAGACACAAUUUAAAGAAUAUACUCUGGUUUUUCAGAUCUUGGAUAAUAUCUUCAUGCCAAAACCGUUUUGUGCGAUUACAGCAAUCCAAUUUGUGGAAACUCCAAUGUCCAAUGUUUUUACUUCCCCCUUCCCACAUUUUAUUUGUCCC